This 465-nucleotide ribosomal RNA is filed under the name uncultured bacterium. RNAcentral describes it as "partial 16S ribosomal RNA". It matches the Rfam family "Bacterial small subunit ribosomal RNA", at positions 28 to 507 of the family's 1533-position model. The record is from RNAcentral.
GACGAACGCUGGCGGCGUGCUUAACACAUGCAAGUCGAACGGAAAGGCCCCUUCGGGGGUACUCGAGUGGCGCACGGGUGAGUAACACGUGAGUAACCUGCCCUUGACUUCGGGAUAACUUCAGGAAACUGGGGCUAAUACCGGAUAGGAAUCCUUGCUGCAUGGUGGGGGUUGGAAAGCUUCGGCGGUUUUGGAUGGACUCGCGGCUUAUCAGCUUGUUGGUGGGGUAGUGGCUUACCAAGGCUUUGACGGGUAGCCGGCCUGAGCGGGCGACCGGCCACAUUGGGACUGAGAUCCCGCCCAGACUCCUACGGGAGGCAGCAGUGGGGAAUAUUGCACAAUGGGCGGAAGCCUGAUGCAGCAACGCCGCGUGCGGGAUGACGGCCUUCGGGUUGUAAACCGCGUUCAGCAGGGGCGAAGCUUGUGGUGACGGUACCUGCAGAAGAAGCACCGGCUAACUACGUG